This 253-nucleotide ribosomal RNA is filed under the name uncultured bacterium. RNAcentral describes it as "partial 16S ribosomal RNA". It matches the Rfam family "Bacterial small subunit ribosomal RNA", at positions 524 to 776 of the family's 1533-position model. The record is from RNAcentral.
UACGGGGGGGGCAAGCGUUGUUCGGAAUUACUGGGCGUAAAGGGCUCGUAGGUGGCCAACUAAGUCAGACGUGAAAUCCCUCGGCUUAACCGGGGAACUGCGUCUGAUACUGGAUGGCUUGAGUCUGGGAGAGGGAUGCGGAAUUCCAGGUGUAGCGGUGAAAUGCGUAGAUAUCUGGAGGAACACCGGUGGCGAAGGCGGCAUCCUGGACCAACACUGACACUGAGGAGCGAAAGCCAGGGGAGCAAACGGG